AUCCUGAAGGAGGUAUUGAGAGGAAUGGUUGUUCAGUUCCUCUUUACAAAUGCUGUGUAGGAGCAGAGGGAAAUUAUGUUAGGGAUCCAAUUGAUCACAUCUAUUCGAGUUCCAAAAACACUUAUUUGAGUGAUUUUCAGCUAAGAGUUGGAGAUAUUCCCACUGAUUGUGAUGUAGCUCCUGGAAAUGGAAAAAACAAGAAUGGUUACUACUCUUCAAAAGCGCAUUCCAACAGUGACUUGUUUGAAAAUUAUAAACACUGAAAUAAUAUCAAAUGGAUUUGCUGACUAUGAAGUUGGAAAUGGUAGAGAAGCAAACGGAGAAGCUGACGAGCUUAAGACUGCUGCAGAUGAAGAUGGUGCUUCAUAGUCAGCAAAUCCAUUUGAUAUUAUACUCAGGAGGAUGAAUAUGAAGUAUUUGAUCUGCGAAUCAUACAUAGGAAAAACAGGACAGG
This 454-nucleotide unclassified non-coding RNA is filed under the name Hevea brasiliensis (rubber tree). Lineage: Eukaryota; Viridiplantae; Streptophyta; Magnoliopsida; Malpighiales; Euphorbiaceae. The record is from RNAcentral.